UACGUAGGUGGCAAGCGUUGUCCGGAAUUAUUGGGCGUAAAGCGCGCGCAGGCGGUCCUUUAAGUCUGAUGUGAAAGCCCACGGCUCGACCGUGGAGGGUCAUUGGAAACUGGGGGACUUGAGUGCAGGAGAGAAGAGUGGAAUUCCACGUGUAGCGGUGAAAUGCGCAGAUAUCAGGAGGAACACCAACGGCGAAGGCAGCUCUCUGGGACGUUACUGACGCUGAGACGCGAAAGCGUGGGGAUCAAACAGG
RNAcentral lists this ribosomal RNA (253 nucleotides) under uncultured bacterium. Its description in RNAcentral is "partial 16S ribosomal RNA". It matches the Rfam family "Bacterial small subunit ribosomal RNA", at positions 524 to 776 of the family's 1533-position model. The record is from RNAcentral.